Non-coding RNA from Melozone crissalis (California towhee), 330 nucleotides. The record is from the annotation of a RefSeq genome assembly. Lineage: Eukaryota; Metazoa; Chordata; Aves; Passeriformes; Passerellidae.
CUGCUCCUGCUGCCCCUCCCAGGGCUCUGGGCGGCCGUGACCCUGCUGGAGUGCGGGGGGCACCUCCAGCCCCCCGGGGGUUCCCUGCGCCUCCUCUGCCCAGGGUCCAGGUUCGAUUUUGGGAGUUUCUCCAUGUUCUGGAUCCGCCAGAGACCCGGGCAGGGGCUGGAAUGGCUGGCCGGGAUCAGCAGUGAUGGUGCCAACACCUUCUAUGCGCCAUCGGUCAAGGGCCGGUUCAGGAUCUCCAGGGACAACGGGCAGAGCUCGGUGACGCUGACCAUGAACAAUCUCAAGGACGAGGAUUCCGGAUCCUAUUUCUGUUCGGUGUAA